AAAGAAUUUAGUGUUUGUCAAAAUGAAGAAUUGCUUUGCUACAGUUAAUGUGGAGGGGGAUUGAGCUUAAAACUUUUAGAUGCUGUGUUGGUUUUAGACAUUAACUUGCAUAAUUACAGUACACUUUUCAGUAUUUUUUUUCUUCAGGUGUAGCCUCUGUUUUGCAUGGUGGUAAUGCGUAGCCACAUUCAACAAUAACUGAUGCCACUGAGCUCAGACAUUGAGAGGUCCUGGUAUUUGGAACAGCAGCAGUCCCUGUGCUGCCUAUUACCAAGCCCCCAUUACAUUACCCAGAAUGCAGCUGGGUCCACAACAAGAACCCUUUCCCCUUAGGGCGUGUCCACAGAACCCUCCUCUGAGGGUGUGGCCACAACGAGAACCCUCUCCACUGAGAGUGGCCAAAACGUGAAGCCUCUCCCUGAGGGCAUGGCCACAAUGAGAAUCAUCUCUCUGAGGGCGUUGCCACAACGAGAAGCCCCCCACUGAGAGUGUGGCCACAACGAGAAGCCUCUCCCUGAGGGCGUGGCCACAACGAGAACCUUCUCCCCUGAGGUGUGUCCAGAGAAUUUUCCACUGAGGGAGUGUCCAACAACAAGCACCCUCUCACCUAAGGGAGUUUCCACCAAACGAUCCUCUGAGGGCGUGACCAGAGAACCCUCCUCUGAGGAUGUGUCCACAACAAGAACCAUUUCCCGAGAGGAUGUGUCCACAACAAGAACCAUUUCCCCAGAGGAUGUGUCCACAACAAGAACCAUUUCCCCAGAGGGCGUGUCCAGAAUGUGAACACUCUCUGUGAGGGCGUGUCCACAACCACUGCCUCACAGCACAGUGGACUCCCAAGCACACUAAACUAUAUGUUCGGCUGGUAUUGUUGGUUUUCCUCUGGUCCUGUAGACCAGUCGUGCUCACAAACAGUUGCAGAUACUCUACCGCAAUCUACUUACAGCAUAUACAUAAACGUCAAGGACUCCAAUACAUUUUGCUUCGACAUUAAACGCGUGUACGAUGUAAAACGUCAUGCCUGGCUUGCCCCUUUCCUACAGCUACUACAACUGACGUUUCCACAAGUAAAGUGUGUGCAUUGUUAUGAAAGAUAUUUUUUUUAAAUGUG
Molecule: long non-coding RNA, 1111 nt
Organism: Esox lucius (northern pike)
Lineage: Eukaryota; Metazoa; Chordata; Actinopteri; Esociformes; Esocidae
Source: Ensembl